GAUGAACGCCGGCGGCGUGCCUAAUACAUGCAAGUCGAGCGAACAGACGAGGAGCUUGCUCCUCUGACGUUAGCGGCGGACGGGUGAGUAACACGUGGAUAACCUACCUAUAAGACUGGGAUAACUUCGGGAAACCGGAGCUAAUACCGGAUAAUAUAUUGAACCGCAUGGUUCAAUAGUGAAAGACGGUUUUGCUGUCACUUAUAGAUGGAUCCGCGCCGCAUUAGCUAGUUGGUAAGGUAACGGCUUACCAAGGCGACGAUGCGUAGCCGACCUGAGAGGGUGAUCGGCCACACUGGAACUGAGACACGGUCCAGACUCCUACGGGAGGCAGCAGUAGGGAAUCUUCCGCAAUGGGCGAAAGCCUGACGGAGCAACGCCGCGUGAGUGAUGAAGGUCUUCGGAUCGUAAAACUCUGUUAUUAGGGAAGAACAAAUGUGUAAGCAACUAUGCACGUCUUGACGGUACCUAAUCAGAAAGCCACGGCUAACUACGUG
RNAcentral lists this ribosomal RNA (497 nucleotides) under uncultured bacterium. Its description in RNAcentral is "partial 16S ribosomal RNA". It matches the Rfam family "Bacterial small subunit ribosomal RNA", at positions 28 to 507 of the family's 1533-position model. The record is from RNAcentral.